This 253-nucleotide ribosomal RNA is filed under the name uncultured bacterium. Its description in RNAcentral is "partial 16S ribosomal RNA". It matches the Rfam family "Bacterial small subunit ribosomal RNA", at positions 524 to 776 of the family's 1533-position model. The record is from RNAcentral.
UACAGAGGGUGCAAGCGUUGUUCGGAAUUAUUGGGCGUAAAGGGUGCGUAGGCGGCGCGGUAAGUCGGGUGUGAAAUCUUGGAGCUUAACUCCGAAACUGCAUUCGAUACUGCCGUGCUUGAGGACUGGAGAGGAGACUGGAAUUUACGGUGUAGCGGUGAAAUGCGUAGAUAUCGUAAGGAAGACCAGUGGCGAAGGCGGGUCUCUGGACAGUUCCUGACGCUGAGGCACGAAGGUCAGGGGAGCAAACGGG